RNAcentral lists this transfer RNA (77 nucleotides) under Opitutaceae bacterium. Its description in RNAcentral is "tRNA-Val". It matches the Rfam family "tRNA". From Rfam's summary of the family: Transfer RNA (tRNA) molecules are approximately 80 nucleotides in length. The record is from RNAcentral. Lineage: Bacteria; Pseudomonadati; Verrucomicrobiota; Opitutia; Opitutales; Opitutaceae.
CGAGACGUCGCCAAGCAGCUAAGGCACCUGGCCUACACCCAGGCAUUCCGGGGGUGCAAGUCCCUCCGUCUCGACCA